Molecule: small nucleolar RNA, 82 nt
Filed under: Naja naja (Indian cobra)
Lineage: Eukaryota; Metazoa; Chordata; Lepidosauria; Squamata; Elapidae
Source: RNAcentral
UCGCAGUGAUGUGAGAAUUUCUUCACCUGAACUGCAGAUUGAAGACCAAAAGACGACAUUGGCUAAUUUAACUCUGAGCUUU